This 77-nucleotide transfer RNA is filed under the name Pacificimonas pallii. RNAcentral describes it as "tRNA-Arg". It matches the Rfam family "tRNA". From Rfam's summary of the family: Transfer RNA (tRNA) molecules are approximately 80 nucleotides in length. The record is from RNAcentral. Lineage: Bacteria; Pseudomonadati; Pseudomonadota; Alphaproteobacteria; Sphingomonadales; Sphingosinicellaceae.
GGUCCCGUAGCUCAGCUGGAUAGAGCGCCAGACUUCUAAUCUGGAUGUCGCAGGUUCGAAUCCUGCCGGGAUCGCCA